UACGGAGGGUGCGAACGUUAAUCGGAAUCACUGGGCGUAAAGCGCGCGUAGGCGGUUUGUUAAGUGGGAUGUGAAAUCCCCGGGCUUAACCUGGGAAUUGCAUUUCAAACUGGCCGACUAGAGUACGGUAGAGGGAGGUAGAAUUUCCUGUGUAGCGGUGAAAUGCGUAGAUAUAGGAGGGAAUACCAGUGGCGAAGGCGGCCUCCUGGAUCGAUACUGACGCUGAGGCGCGAAAGCGUGGGGAGCAAACAGG
RNAcentral lists this ribosomal RNA (253 nucleotides) under uncultured bacterium. RNAcentral's name for it is "partial 16S ribosomal RNA". It matches the Rfam family "Bacterial small subunit ribosomal RNA", at positions 524 to 776 of the family's 1533-position model. The record is from RNAcentral.